AAGUCGAGCGGCAGCGCGGGGGCAACCCUGGCGGCGAGCGGCGAACGGGUGAGUAAUGCAUCGGAACGUGUCCUGGAGUGGGGGAUAACCUAUCGAAAGGUAGGCUAAUACCGCAUAGCCAAGGGAUUGGAAAGUGGGGGACUCGCAAGGGCCUCACGCUUUUGGAGCGGCCGAUGCCGGAUUAGCUAGUUGGUGGGGUAAAGGCCCACCAAGGCGACGAUCCGUAGCGGGUCUGAGAGGAUGAUCCGCCACACUGGGACUGAGACACGGCCCAGACUCCUACGGGAGGCAGCAGUGGGGAAUUUUGGACAAUGGGGGCAACCCUGAUCCAGCCAUGCCGCGUGAGUGAAGAAGGCCUUCGGGUUGUAAAGCUCUUUCGGCGGGAACGAAAACGCCUCUUCUAAUACGGGGGGUGGAUGACGGUACUCGCAGAAGAAGCACCGGCUAACUACGUGCCAGCAGCCGCGGUAAUACGUAGGGUGCGAGCGUUAAUCGGAAUUACUGGGCGUAAAGCGUGCGCAGGCGGUUAUUUAAGACAGGCGUGAAAGCCCCGGGCUUAACCUGGGAGGUGCGCUUGUGACUGGAUAGCUAGAGUGUGGCAGAGGGGGGUGGAAUUCCACGUGUAGCAGUGAA
This 633-nucleotide ribosomal RNA is filed under the name uncultured bacterium. Its description in RNAcentral is "bacterial SSU rRNA". It matches the Rfam family "Bacterial small subunit ribosomal RNA", at positions 59 to 685 of the family's 1533-position model. The record is from RNAcentral.